Molecule: ribosomal RNA, 477 nt
Filed under: uncultured bacterium
Lineage: Bacteria
Description: partial 16S ribosomal RNA
Rfam family: Bacterial small subunit ribosomal RNA
Source: RNAcentral
GAUUAACGCUGGCGGCGUGCAUAACACAUGCAAGUCGAACGAUGAAACUUUAAUGAACCCUUCGGGGAGAAUUAAAGCGGAUUAGUGGCGAACGGGUGAGUAACGCGUGAGUAACCUGCCUUACACAAGGGGAUAGCCUUUGGAAACGAAGAAUAAUACCCUAUAAAACCAUAAAAGCACAUGCAAUUAUGGUCAAAGUGAUAGCGGUGUAAGAUGGACUUGCGUCUGAUUAGCUAGUUGGUGAGAUAAAAGCCCACCAAGGCAACGAUCAGUAGCCGGCUUGAGAGAGUGUACGGCCACAUUGGGACUGAGACACGGCCCAGACUCCUACGGGAGGCAGCAGUGGGGAAUUUUGCACAAUGGGGGAAACCCUGAUGCAGCGACGCCGCGUGAUUUAGAAGGCCUUCGGGUUGUAAAAAUCUCUUGUAUAGGAAGAAAAUGACAGUACUAUACGAAUAAGGUCCGGCUAAUUACGUG